RNAcentral lists this ribosomal RNA (522 nucleotides) under Melanoleuca pseudobrevipes. Its description in RNAcentral is "eukaryotic LSU rRNA". The stretch from base 8 to 161 matches the Rfam family "5.8S ribosomal RNA". Lineage: Eukaryota; Fungi; Basidiomycota; Agaricomycetes; Agaricales; Pluteaceae. The record is from RNAcentral.
CUUAUACAACUUUCAACAACGGAUCUCUUGGCUCUCGCAUCGAUGAAGAACGCAGCGAAAUGCGAUAAGUAAUGUGAAUUGCAGAAUUCAGUGAAUCAUCGAAUCUUUGAACGCACCUUGCGCUCCUUGGUAUUCCGAGGAGCAUGCCUGUUUGAGUGUCAUUAAAUUCUCAAUCCUUUCUGGGUUUACUCUCAGUUGGGCUUGGAUAUGGGGGUUUUGCUGGCUUUGCAUAAAACAAAGUCAGCUCUCCUGAAAGAUAUUAGCAAGACUUGUUGUUGCAACCCUCUAUCUGGUGUGAUAAUUAUCUACAUCAUAGAUUUGUACACCUAUAUGUCUGGCUUCUAACAGUCCAUUAAAUUGGACAAAACUCUGACAAUUUGACCUCAAAUCAGGUAGGACUACCCGCUGAACUUAAGCAUAUCAAUAAGCGGAGGAAAAGAAACUAACAAGGAUUCCCCUAGUAACUGCGAGUGAAGCGGGAAAAGCUCAAAUUUAAAAUCUGGCAGUCUCUGGCUGUCCGAG